Molecule: long non-coding RNA, 1568 nt
Filed under: Sus scrofa (pig)
Lineage: Eukaryota; Metazoa; Chordata; Mammalia; Artiodactyla; Suidae
Description: lncRNA (ENSSSCG00030064523.1)
Source: RNAcentral
UAGACUGCUUUGGGUAGUGUGGCCAUUUUUAAGAUAUUAAUUUUUCCAACCCAGGAGCAUGGCAUAUCUUUCCAUUUCUUUACAUCUUCUUUAAUUUCCUUGUAAUGUUUUGAUUCACAAAUUCAAAACUUGCAGGUGAAUGAAGAUUGAGAUCUGUCCAUAAGCUUUUUCUCCUCAUUAUCACGGACUAAUUUCAAAUUAGCUGGAACUGUUCUGAAUUCUAAUCUGUUUCAUGAUAUUUAACACUAUUAACUUAUUGGGAAACAUAACAACUGAUAGGCAGGCCCACAACCUUGACACCAAGUCACACUGAUGGCUUUUUUCUAUCUGUAUUAGUAAGUUUUAUAUCUGAAUGUUUUGCUUGCUAAAAGAAGGGCUUUUUUUUUUUUUAUUGACCAACUUUUUUCUUUUUCCCACUGUACAGCAGAAGGCCAUUUUUUAUUAUUCCUCUGGACACCCACUUGAUUUUGGCACCUACAUAGCAAAGGCUCUUCUUUCUGUUUUUGAGCUUUUAGUUCUUUUUAUAUUUCGUCUACCCUAAAAAAUAAAGUUUUAACUAGCAUUUCUUUGACCUCCUUACUGGGUUAUAAUUUAAGUGUCUGGUACUUCUUUUUUUCACCCUCCCCUUUCUUUGAGCUCUGUAAUCCAUUUGACAGAACAAGAAUCACCAGCUAAUCAAAAUAGAGAUAAUUUACAAGGAAUGUUUGAACCAGUCUUUCUUUGAACUUUCCUAUAAUUAUUCUCCAUCAUUUUUCAGGUUAUUUUUUCCCAUUUAUAUCCUAAAUCUAUUUUCUAAUGGCAGGAUUUUUUUCUCAUGUCUUCUUAUACUUAUGUUAUUCUAAAAAAUAUAUAAUUCUGAUUUUAAAUUUUAAUUUGUAAGGAUUUCACUUUUCAUAGUCUCUUUACUAUAUAUGAAGUCUUUUGAUAUUCAGGUACAAUACCUGAUAAUCAUUUAUCCACUUCAAUAAUCUUUGUAUUACUUUGGUUCUGUGUACAGAGUAUUAAAAAUAAUAUAGGUGUUCCUAUUGUGGCUCAGUGGAAACAAAUCUGACUAGAAUCCAUGAGGAUGCAGGUUUAAUCCCUGGCCUUGCUCAUGAGUUGUGGUGUAGGCUGCAUGCAGCUUGGAUCCUGCUGCAUUUCUGUGGCUGCGGUGUAGGCCAGCAGCUACAGCUCUGAUUGGACCCCUAGCCUGGGAACCUCCAUAUGCACAAGGUGGGCUCCUAAAAAGCAAAAUAAAUAAAUAAAUAAAAGGUAAAUUGUUGAUUAAGAAUGGAAAAUGACAAAUCCUCACUGUGUGGGGAUAUGUAUAUAUAUACAUACAUAUAUAUAUAAAACACAUAUAGUUUUGUGUAUAUGUAUAUAUAAUAUGUAAUAUAUAGUAUAUAUAGCAAGUUAAGAUGGAAUGUGAAAUAUAUGAUAGAAUGUGUAAGAAUAUAUGAUAGAUGUAAUGUGUAAUACAUAUAAGAAGUAGUGUGUAAUAUAUGAUAUAUGUGUAAGAAUAAUAUACAUAUAUCAUAUUUGAUUCACCUAAUGGAAAAGAAAAACAAUGACUCUUAUUUAAAUUAGCC